RNAcentral lists this ribosomal RNA (261 nucleotides) under uncultured bacterium. RNAcentral's name for it is "partial 16S ribosomal RNA". It matches the Rfam family "Bacterial small subunit ribosomal RNA", at positions 91 to 353 of the family's 1533-position model. The record is from RNAcentral.
ACGAGUGGCGGACGGGUGAGUAAUGUCUGGGAAACUGCCUGAUGGAGGGGGAUAACUACUGGAAACGGUAGCUAAUACCGCAUAACGUCGCAAGACCAAAGAGGGGGACCUUCGGGCCUCUUGCCAUCGGAUGUGCCCAGAUGGGAUUAGCUAGUAGGUGGGGUAACGGCUCACCUAGGCGACGAUCAGUAGCCGGCUUGAGAGAGUGAACGGCCACAUUGGGACUGAGACACGGCCCAAACUCCUACGGGAGGCAGCAUG